Molecule: ribosomal RNA, 467 nt
Filed under: uncultured bacterium
Lineage: Bacteria
Description: partial 16S ribosomal RNA
Rfam family: Bacterial small subunit ribosomal RNA
Source: RNAcentral
GAUGGACGCUGACAGAAUGCUUAACACAUGCAAGUCGACUUGAAUUUGGGUUUUUAACUUAGGUUUGGGUGGCGGACGGGUGAGUAACGCGUAAAGAACUUGCCUCACAGCUAGGGACAACAUUUGGAAACGAAUGCUAAUACCUAAUAUUAUGAUAAUAGGGCAUCCUAUAAUUAUGAAAGCUAUAAGCGCUGUGAGAGAGCUUUGCGUCCCAUUAGCUAGUUGGAGAGGUAACGGCUCACCAAGGCGAUGAUGGGUAGCCGGCCUGAGAGGGUGAUCGGCCACAAGGGGACUGAGACACGGCCCUUACUCCUACGGGAGGCAGCAGUGGGGAAUAUUGGACAAUGGACCGAGAGUCUGAUCCAGCAAUUCUGUGUGCACGAUGAAGUUUUUCGGAAUGUAAAGUGCUUUCAGUUGGGAAGAAACAAAUGACGGUACCAACAGAAGAAGUGACGGCUAAAUACGUG